RNAcentral lists this ribosomal RNA (386 nucleotides) under uncultured bacterium. RNAcentral describes it as "bacterial SSU rRNA". It matches the Rfam family "Bacterial small subunit ribosomal RNA", at positions 772 to 1159 of the family's 1533-position model. The record is from RNAcentral.
ACUGAAUAGAUACCCUGGUAGUCCACGCCCUAAACGAUGUCAACUAGGUGUGGGGGGAGACUUCCUUAGUACCGCAGCUAAACGCGUGAAGUUGACCGCCUGGGGAGUACGGUCGCAAGAUUAAAACUCAAAGGAAUUGACGGGGACCCGCACAAGCGGUGGAUUAUGUGGAUUAAUUCGAUGCAACGCGAAAAACCUUACCUACCCUUGACAUGCCAGGAACUUGCCAGAGAUGGCUUGGUGCCCGAAAGGGAACCUGGACACAGGUGCUGCAUGGCUGUCGUCAGCUCGUGUCGUGAGAUGUUGGGUUAAGUCCCGCAACGAGCGCAACCCUUGUCAUUAAUUGCCAUCAUUCAGUUGGGCACUUUAAUGAGACUGCCGGUGAC